This 383-nucleotide long non-coding RNA is filed under the name Salmo salar (Atlantic salmon). RNAcentral describes it as "lncRNA (ENSSSAG00000104750.1, ENSSSAG00075067574.1)". Lineage: Eukaryota; Metazoa; Chordata; Actinopteri; Salmoniformes; Salmonidae. The record is from RNAcentral.
AAAGAAAGGACAAAGCUUUUGGCUAAUGCACAAAUGACUCUGCUUGGUCAAGGAAUUAACCUAAUAUAUUAUCAAGCUGGGUAUUUUUUAAUACAACUUUUUACAUAACAGACAUUACCUGUCGUUGCUGAUGAAGCCGUCUGUGUCAUCAGGGCAGUAACUCGGGUCACUAUCAGAAGCGUCAUGAUGGCGUGUCCUUUUCAUGGGAGUCAAGGGAGGCACUGGCAACAAUUUAGGAGGUGUCACAAUGGUCACCCCAGUUAAUAUCCUAUUUACAGCGGGCAUCUGUCAGCCUCCCUUUAUGGGUCAUGCCCCUCUCCCAAACUGAGACGCACCGCGCUGCUCCUCUACCCAUCAGCCCAUACAAAUGCUGACCCAACGAC